This 512-nucleotide ribosomal RNA is filed under the name uncultured bacterium. RNAcentral's name for it is "partial 16S ribosomal RNA". It matches the Rfam family "Bacterial small subunit ribosomal RNA", at positions 28 to 523 of the family's 1533-position model. The record is from RNAcentral.
GACGAACGCUGGCGGCAUGCCUAAUACAUGCAAGUCGAGCGAACAGAUGAAGUGCUUGCACUUCUGACGUUAGCGGCGAACGGGUGAGUAACACGUAAGGAAUCUACCUAUAAGCGGGGAUAACAUUCGGAAACGGGUGCUAAUACCGCAUAAUAUCUUCUUCCGCAUGGAAGAAGAUUGAAAGACGGCUCUGCUGUCACUUAUAGAUGACCUUGCGGUGCAUUAGUUAGUUGGUGGGGUAACGGCCUACCAAGACGAUGAUGCAUAGCCGACCUGAGAGGGUGAUCGGCCACAUUGGGACUGAGACACGGCCCAAACUCCUACGGGAGGCAGCAGUAGGGAAUCUUCCGCAAUGGGCGAAAGCCUGACGGAGCAAUGCCGCGUGAGUGAAGAAGGCCUUCGGGUCGUAAAACUCUGUUAUAUGAGAAGAACAAAUUGUAGAGUAACUGCUACAGUCUUGACGGUAUCUUAUCAGAAAGCCACGGCUAACUACGUGCCAGCCGCCGCCGUAA